This is a long non-coding RNA of Corvus hawaiiensis (hawaiian crow), 1232 nucleotides long. RefSeq lists it as uncharacterized. Lineage: Eukaryota; Metazoa; Chordata; Aves; Passeriformes; Corvidae. The record is from RefSeq and is a predicted model, not a curated record. The transcript has 3 exons.
GGAAAGCGCGAGGGGGAAACGGCUGGAAAAGGUGAGGAGGCGGAGCCGCCGCCUAGGCGGGGAAAGGCGGCAUACCAAAAUGUGCACAUAUCCGGUAGUCGUGGCCGAGUGGUUAAGGCGAUGGACUAGAAAUCCAUUGGGAUCCUCCCGCGCAGGUUCGAAUCCUGCCGACUACGAGCAGAUCCUUUUCCUCCUGCUGAGUAUUCCCUCCCUCUCCAGUGUCCGAAGUCCGCUCACUGUCUGCCUGUUUUUUUUUUUUUUUUUGACACAACAGAAAUUGUCACCAGUAAUAAAUAAGGAAAAUGAGGAAAUUAGGAGCCACUCCCCGAGAGCGCCAGCUCGGAGCGGAAACCCUCCAGUAGGGAGGGGUUGCCCCCGGGAGGGCCCCCGCCUUUUUGGGCAGGGCGAGGCGGGGCUCCCCCUGGCCCACCCGGCGCCGUGGCUUAGCUGGUUAAAGCGCCUGUCUAGUAAACAGGAGAUCCUGGGUUCGAAUCCCAGCGGUGCCUGCGCUAUUCCCGGCCUUCUCGUAGAUCCAUUUUGGAGGAGGCGCCGCUGGCCCUCCCGCCUCCGCUCAGCUCUUCUCGUACCCGCUGCCCGUAUCGUGUCUGUCUGAGUAGCGGGAGCCGAUCGUUUUCGUCAUUUGCCCCGCAGAGGCUGAAGGGUCCCCAUGGUUUCAGCUGCCGCCCCUUCGGAGGGCGUCUUCUGGCGCCGAUGUGGUCUCGGCCCGUCGUCGUUUCGGACAGGAAAUCGGGCUGUGCCCGCCCGCGGGGACCGCCCGUGACAGGUCAGCCUUGGGCAACACCUUUCAUUCAGCCCCUCGCUUCCGCACGCCCGGCUGGACACCCUCCCCGCCCGAGGAACAGCCCCGGCUGAUGAAAUCGGAGCCCCAGCGGCAGCAGCAGCAUUUGCGCGGCUCUGUAGGCGAUCGUGGUAGGAUUGUAGUGUUGACCUGGAAAAACAAGACAAAGACACUGGGAUUCACAGCAAGAAAAAAGGCAAGAGGGACCCGAGCUUAGCAAGCUGAUGAUGCAUUAAGCUGCUUCUGGGCCAGAAUGAGAGCAAUCAUCGUUAGAGUCUUCCCCAAGCCCAUGUCAUCCGCUGCAAAAAGACACACACCAGUUAUCACCUGCAGAAAUGAGCCCCCUUAGCUGAGAUCUACACUGAGGGAAAUACUACAACAGAAAGUGCCCUGGGGAACGCAGCAAAAUAAAAAUACACAGAUGAAAAUUUCA